ACCAUUUUCCAACUUGUCCGUCCAUCUGCCAAUGAUGGCAAACUGACUCAGCUCCAGGGCCUCUUGGCCGAUGGCCCGUUGGAAGCCCAAGGAACCUUUCGAGAAGCCAAACAGGCCCUUUGGGGCGGAUCCGGGUCUCACAUCCGUAUAAAGGCAGGAGCUGUGGCAACUAGGAGGGACAGAAAUCAAUUUAUCCAGCUAAUUAAUGAAGAAGAAGAA
Molecule: long non-coding RNA, 219 nt
Organism: Ornithorhynchus anatinus (platypus)
Lineage: Eukaryota; Metazoa; Chordata; Mammalia; Monotremata; Ornithorhynchidae
Exons: 2
Source: RefSeq, a predicted model, not a curated record